This 574-nucleotide long non-coding RNA is filed under the name Rattus norvegicus (Norway rat). Its description in RNAcentral is "long non-coding RNA NONRATT004627". The record is from RNAcentral. Lineage: Eukaryota; Metazoa; Chordata; Mammalia; Rodentia; Muridae.
GGGCCACUAAGGACCAUGUUUGGUGGCCUGGCACUUCAUGGAGCCCGUAGUGGACCUCCAUCUCAGCCUCCUGCUCAGGGAUGGUGGAUAGGUUACCUGCUGGACCGCUCCAAGUGGCUGGGCCCAUGGGAAAGAGUCAGGAGGGAGCUGCAGUGCCUCCCCUCUGCUGGGGCCAGGGCUUUCUCUUCUCAGUGCCUGCUGUCUUUUUACUGUUUAAUUUAAAUACCCAAACCUCCAUGCAGCUGCAUCCCUGAGAGUAGGAGGGGCCAUGGUUGCAGCUGGGCCCUGUGGGAUGCCUUGGGAAUCUCCUCUCCAUCUCCGCUUCUCCAGAGGCUCUUUCUCGUGAAGCCUGCUGCCAGCGGACACUGACACAACAGCAAGUGGUCUGGACGUCUCAGCCACUUACCAUAAAGGCCAUCCCGACCAUCCCACCGGAUUUGGGGGCCCAAAGGCAGUACCUGGUGCUGGACCCUUUUACCAUCCCCUUCUCUUCUGCAGUUGCUUUGUACUCAUCGGGCUGUGCUCUCCCUGUGGACCUGAUUGAUAUAGGAAAUAAAAGGCCCCUUCCUUCCUG